Geoalkalibacter subterraneus is the source of this 234-nucleotide non-coding RNA. It matches the Rfam family "HNH endonuclease-associated RNA and ORF (HEARO) RNA". The record is from Rfam. Lineage: Bacteria; Pseudomonadati; Thermodesulfobacteriota; Desulfuromonadia; Desulfuromonadales; Geoalkalibacteraceae.
GUCAAUCACCCCACGGAUAAAUCCGGGGCUUGAGAACAUCAAGCCCAGGUUGACCAGGCACAGCCACCGACGAGAAAUCGUCGACGGGGCUACGUUGGAAGCGAAUACAUAGGCACCUUGGAAUGCCCUCCCAGUUCCAAGCUCUGCGGUGGCCGGUUAAAAGACGUUCCGGGGUUUCAGCGUCGGUGCCGGUCACAUCAAACCUCUUCGCAACAUUGCCGAGGGAGACAUGAC